RNAcentral lists this ribosomal RNA (429 nucleotides) under Gemmatimonadota bacterium. RNAcentral describes it as "Gemmatimonadetes bacterium partial 16S ribosomal RNA". It matches the Rfam family "Bacterial small subunit ribosomal RNA", at positions 355 to 776 of the family's 1533-position model. The record is from RNAcentral. Lineage: Bacteria; Pseudomonadati; Gemmatimonadota.
UAGGGAAUCUUCGGCAAUGGACGAAAGUCUGACCGAGCAACGCCGCGUGAGUGAAGAAGGUUUUCGGAUCGUAAAACUCUGUUGUUAGAGAAGAACAAGGACGUUAGUAACUGAACGUCCCCUGACGGUAUCUAACCAGAAAGCCACGGCUAACUACGUGCCAGCAGCCGCGGUAAUACGUAGGUGGCAAGCGUUGUCCGGAUUUAUUGGGCGUAAAGCGAGCGCAGGCGGUUUCUUAAGUCUGAUGUGAAAGCCCCCGGCUCAACCGGGGAGGGUCAUUGGAAACUGGGGGACUUGAGUGCAGAAGAGGAGAGUGGAAUUCCAGGUGUAGCGGUGAAAUGCGUAGAUAUAUGGAGGAACACCAGUGGCGAAGGCGGCUCUCUGGUCUGUAACUGACGCUGAGGCUCGAAAGCGUGGGGAGCAAACAGG